AGAGUUUGAUCAUGGCUCAGGACGAACGCUGGCGGCGUGCCUAACACAUGCAAGUCGAACGGGGUGAGGCCCUUCGGGACCUUUACCUAGUGGCGAACGGGUGAGUAACGCGUGAGGAACCUGCCUUUCAGUGGGGGACAACAGUUGGAAACGACUGCUAAUACCGCAUGAAGCUUUUGGGAGACAUCUCCUGGAAGCCAAAGCUUAAUGUGCUGAAAGAUGGCCUCGCGUCUGAUUAGCUAGUUGGUGGGGUAACGGCCCACCAAGGCGACGAUCAGUAGCCGGUCUGAGAGGAUGAACGGCCACAUUGGGACUGAGAUACGGCCCAGACUCCUACGGGAGGCAGCAGUGGGGAAUAUUGGGCAAUGGGCGAAAGCCUGACCCAGCAACGCCGCGUGAAGGAAGAAGGCCUUCGGGUUGUAAACUUCUUUUACCAGGGACGAAGGACGUGACGGUACCUGGAGAAGAAGCAACGGCUAACUACGUGCCAGCAGCCGCGGUAAUACGUAGGUUGCAAGCGUUGUCCGGAUUUACUGGGUGUAAAGGGCGUGUAGGCGGAGAUGCAAGUUAGGAGUGAAAUCUAUGGGCUCAACCCAUAAACUGCUUCUAAAACUGUAUCCCUUGAGUAUCGGAGAGGCAAGCGGAAUUCCUAGUGUAGCGGUGAAAUGCGUGGAUAUUAGGAGGAACACCAGUGGCGAAGGCGGCUUGCUGGACGACAACUGACGCUGAGGCGCGAAAGCGUGGGGAGCAAACAGGAUUAGAUACCCUGGUAGUCCACGCUGUAAACGAUGAAUACUAGGUGUGGGGGGACUGACCCCCUCCGUGCCGCAGUUAACACAAUAAGUAUUCCACCUGGGGAGUACGACCGCAAGGUUGAAACUCAAAGGAAUUGACGGGGGCCCGCACAAGCAGUGGAUUAUGUGGUUUAAUUCGACGCAACGCGAAGAACCUUACCAGGACUUGACAUCCAACUAACGAAGUAGAGAUACAUCAGGUGCCCUUCGGGGAAAGUUGAGACAGGUGGUGCAUGGUUGUCGUCAGCUCGUGUCGUGAGAUGUUGGGUUAAGUCCCGCAACGAGCGCAACCCCUAUUGUUAGUUGCUACGAAAGAGCACUCUAGCGAGACUGCCGUUGACAAAACGGAGGAAGGCGGGGACGACGUCAAAUCAUCAUGCCCCUUAUGUCCUGGGCUACACACGUAAUACAAUGGUGGCCAACAGAGGGAAGCGAAGCCGUGAGGCAGAGCAAAUCCCUAAAAGCCAUCUCAGUUCGGAUUGCAGGCUGCAACUCGCCUGCAUGAAGCUGGAAUUGCUAGUAAUCGCGGAUCAGCAUGCCGCGGUGAAUACGUUCCCGGGCCUUGUACACACCGCCCGUCACACCAUGAGAGUCGGGAACACCCGAAGUCCGUAGUCUAACCGCAAGGGGGGCGCGGCCGAAGGUGGGUCCGGUAAUUGGGGUGAAGUCGUAACAAGGUA
RNAcentral lists this ribosomal RNA (1474 nucleotides) under metagenome. RNAcentral's name for it is "bacterial SSU rRNA". It matches the Rfam family "Bacterial small subunit ribosomal RNA". The record is from RNAcentral.